Molecule: ribosomal RNA, 468 nt
Filed under: uncultured bacterium
Lineage: Bacteria
Description: partial 16S ribosomal RNA
Rfam family: Bacterial small subunit ribosomal RNA
Source: RNAcentral
GACGAACGCUGGCGGCGUGCUUAACACAUGCAAGUCGAACGGAAAGGCCCUGCUUUUGUGGGGUGCUCGAGUUGCGAACGGGUGAGUAACACGUGAGUAACCUGCCCUUGACUUUGGGAUAACUUCAGGAAACUGGGGCUAAUACCGGAUAGGAGCUCCUGCUGCAUGGUGGGUGCUGGAAAGUUUCGGCGGUUGGGGAUGGACUCGCGGCUUAGCUGUUUGUUGGUGGGGUAGUGGCUUAGCCAGGCUAUGACGGGUAGCCGGCCUGAGAGGGUGACCGGCCACAGUGGGACUGAGAUACGGCCCAGACUCAUACGGGAGGCAGGGGUGGGGAAUAGUGCACACUGGGCGGAAGGAUUGUGCAGCAACGCCGCGUCGGGGAUGACGGCCGUCGGGUUGUAAACCGCUUUCGCCUGUGACGAAGCGAGAGUGACGGUAAUGGGUCAAGAAGCACCGGCUAACUACGUG